Molecule: ribosomal RNA, 669 nt
Filed under: uncultured archaeon
Lineage: Archaea
Description: bacterial SSU rRNA
Rfam family: Archaeal small subunit ribosomal RNA
Source: RNAcentral
CGAUUCCCUACGGGGUGCAGCAGGCGCGCAAACUUUACAAUGCGAGCAAUCGUGAUAAGGAAACCCUGAGUGCCUGUCGAUGCAGGCUGUUCAUAUAUCUAAAUCAUAUGUGAAGAAAGGGCAGGGCAAGACCGGUGCCAGCCGCCGCGGUAAUACCGGCUGCUCGAGUGAUGGCCACUAUUACUGGGUUUAAAGCGUCCGUAGCUUGACUGUUAGGUCUCUUGGGAAAUCUUCACGCUCAACGUGAAGGCGUCUAAGAGAUACCGGCAGUCUUGGAACUGGGAGAGGUAAACCGUACUCCGGGGGUAGGAGUGAAAUCUUGUAAUCCUCGAGGGACGACCUAUGGCGAAGGCAGUUUACCAGAGCAGCUUCGACAGUGAGGGACGAAAGCUGGGGGAGCAAACGGGAUUAGAUACCCCGGUAGUCCCAGCCGUAAACAAUGUGCGUUAGGUGUGUCGGUAACCACGUGUUACUGAUGCGCCGAAGAGAAAUCGUGAAACGCACCACCUGGGAAGUACGGUCGCAAGGCUGAAACUUAAAGGAAUUGGCGGGGGAGCACCACAACAGGUGGAGCCUGCGGUUUAAUUGGAUUCAACGCCGGACAUCUCACCGGAUAAGACAGCUGAAUGAUUGUCAAUCUGAAGGUUUUACAUGACUAGCUGAGAGGAA